RNAcentral lists this long non-coding RNA (1733 nucleotides) under Helianthus annuus (common sunflower). RNAcentral describes it as "hypothetical non coding rna". Lineage: Eukaryota; Viridiplantae; Streptophyta; Magnoliopsida; Asterales; Asteraceae. The record is from RNAcentral.
UCACUUUUCACAAACCCUACAUACCAUUUCCUAAAUCUGCUUCUUCGUUUUUCAGAGAUUCAUCGUCCUUAGAUGAGAUUCAUAAGGACGACAAUGUUUUGAUGCUUUCUUCAUCUUCAUGGUUUGCUUGUGGUCUUUCGUAUCCGUCAAAACCCUAAUCGACCGGAGAAAUCGUCAAAAGUUCUUCACAAUAUGGUUAGUUUCUUCUCUCAAUUUUGUUAUUCAAUCAUCUUUCAUCCACAUUCAAUUUUACAAACCCUAAAGCUCAUCUACGGCUUCAUCUGUAAUUAGAUCUUAUACUGUUUAUUUAUGUUAUUAGAUCUUAUAGGAACUUUUUUUUUGUUCAAAACCCAUUCGGCAGAUCUUAAUCAUUUCCGUUGUUAUUUGUUUGUAGAUCGUUUCACAUAUUUUGCAGGUAUGUAAUUUAUAUUAUAUUGUUAUUUAUUGUAAAUGUUUAAUGUGAAUUUUUGAUGAUUUUUAUGUUUUUUUUUGUUGAUCGAACCUGUUAUAUGUAAGUUUAAUCAACAAUCUAUAAAAAAAUUGUUCUUCAUCUCCUUCUCCGCAGAUGCUUAUUGUUUGAUUUUUCUUUUUUUUUCGUUGUUUGUUGAUGAUGAUUUUGCAUUAUCCGAUUCCAAUCAUAUGAAAUGAUAUUUUGUUGAUGUUUUGAUUUUGUUCUCAUGUUACUCAUAUUUUUAUUUACAGUCUUUUAGUUUGUUGUUGAUGAUGAUAUGUUUUGAUUGUGUCCGAUGUGUUUUGAUUGUGUUGAUGAAGAUUUACAACGGUCUAAUAAUUUUUCAUCCGGUAUAAUGUUUUUGUCUUCGGAAUAUUGAUUUUGUUUCUAAAAAAUAAAUAUUUUUUAUUUUUUUUAAACCUUUUCUUUUUAUUUUUGGAUUUGGAAGUUUCUCAAUUGAUUAAAUUAUCUUUUAAAGCUUAUUGAUUGUUGAUUUAGGUAUAUUGAUUCUUUUUCUAUAAAUACUUUACCGUUUUAUUUUUUUAAAAACCUUCAUAUAUAUUUUUCAGAUAUGCAUCCCUUGCACAACAGUCCUUCAUUUUUAAAGCUUAUUGGUGAAGAUGACCAGAUAUUUUUGGUGAAGAGCUUCUUUCAGACUCCUUCCCCUACAAGGAACUAUUGAAUGGGUUCCUAUGAGAAGUUGAAGAAAAGUUAUGGAUCAUGAAAACAACGCUCCUUCAUUGUUAAAGUCGAUUGAGGACUAUGAUCCUAUAUUUUCGAAUUGUUCGUCGACCAAAAACAGUUAUGGAACAUGAAAACAACGCUCCUUCGUUGUUAAAGUUGAUUGGGGACUAUGAUCCUAUAUUUUUGUUUUUGGCUGCAACUAUGUUGGACAGAGAUAUGCUUGCUAUUGCUGUAAAUUGGUACCAUGUCGGUUGGUUUUGCUUGAUUUGUGACGAUGCGUCGGACAAACAACAUUGGGAAAAUAUACAGCCUUGAGCAUUGAUGACCAAUGUAUAUCUCUACUUGAGGAAUUCUCCAAAGAUCCAGAGCCGAUUGUUUCAUAGAGCUGUGAAGUUGCGUUAAACAUACUGGAUUUUGAACGAUCCGACAAACCAUUCGAGGUACUUGGAAGAUUAAGUCUCUUAUCUGGGUGGUUGUUACAGGUUUAGGAUAUUAAAUGAUUUUGGAUGUACUCUGCGAUGUCGAUGAUGCAGAGAUGUUGGUGAAGUUCAGGUUAACAACUCCAUGUGUAUAUUUUAAUGAAUAAAGUUUUUGUUGU